CCGAAUUCCGCGCGUGUUUUCGGCUACCUGCAGGUGGCAGAAUCUCUGCAUAAGCUCGCUUUCUUUAAAUGUUUGAAAUUAGAUCCAGGUUUUUUUGAGAGAGCAAAGCGUAUGGGUUUUCAGCGGCGUAGUGGCGUAGGAAUUUACCCUGUAGAGAACAAAGAAACUCACCUUCUGGAGAACACAUUUUGUCUAAUUUAGGAUUAGAUCAUCGAAUUUGCCGUGCUGGCCUCAUUUUUCACAGACAAUUUUGUAGAGGAAGCAUGUGUUGCAGUGCUUUCGUUUUAUAUGUUAUCAAGUGUUCCACUCUAUCAAAUGUAAUUCACACAUCUAAUCAUUCCUAUUACCUACUCAAAUUGUUUCCUCGUUGCAGGGUGGUAUACAAAUGAGACCGAUCCUUGCUCCAUACUUAUUUGUCGUUCUGAUGACGACCAUUAUCAGCGUCACAAAUCUUAUGAUCACAACAGCCAUGUACCAGUCGGACGCUCUGGGAACGAUCAUCAUAAUCAAUACUGGGGUCGUAUUCGUGUCUUUACUCGUCAUAAUGACGUGGAGUUUGACGAUGGUCAGAUCAAAACUUUCAAAUGUUCUGAGAUACCUGUAUAACUCGAAAUGGUCGCAACUGAGUGAAUGUCCGAGCAGAAAACAAGAUUUCCUGAUCAUCUCACAAAGCUCCUUUCAGCCAGUCACUUUCCCGCUCAUCAUGUACGGAAAUUUAGAUUUUCCAAGACUUUAUCAGCUUUUCAAUUUGGCAUGGAAUUACUUCUCUCUAAUGAAAAGCGUAGCCGGACAAUUGAAAGAAGCCGAGCUUCAUCAACAUUCCGACCAUAUAUCACAUCACAUAGUGACUUGAAAGUGAAGAAUCAUAACUAAGUUUGAUUAUAUCUCAAAAAACUUAACUCUAAAGUCGCAGUGCCUGUAGCUACAGUCCGAUAUAGCGCAUUCAUCUAUUCAGCCCACAUUUGCAUUGGUGUAAUGGUUUAUUAAGUCCGAAUUUAGCUGCAGUAUUGUUUUUGUGACAUCUUAAAUAUGCCACUAUUAAAGGAAAAAUGACAAACUUCUGUGUUUGGGAUUUCUCUCCGUGCAGAGUAUCUCACAGAAAAGUGAUUUUUCACCUUAGCCCAAAAAAUCAAGUCCAACCUCACAUGCCCGGGCCGCCUCGUUCUGUCAGUGUGUACUGUGUGUUCUAUUUAUGAACUUAUAAGGCGCAAUGUAAACUUCAAGGUUCAGGCCUGCUCUGGAAGAAGACAAUGAGAAGAACGAGAAGAGAAAGGCCGGCACAAAAACCGCGAGAGCCUUAGGUCCGAAAGAUGUGGAAGUGUUAUGAUCAGCCGAUGCAUUAGCAAUCAGUAAUGAAUGACGGUCAGAGUGGGGGGAGGGAAAAAUUAUGGAACGAGAAAAGAGAAUGGAGAAGAAAAAUCAGCUACUGUUUAAAGCACUGCCUGUGCUGGAGGGGUAACAAGUUAUUGAAAAUGCAAGUGUAAUUUACUCCGCAGGUGCCUAAGGGCGUGUUUUCAAUACAAGCACUUUUUUCAUGUCCCUCUUUCAUCCUCUGCGCCUUGCGCAAUGAACAUGGCUGCCAAAAGAGACUCUAAAUGUUCCUGGCUCGUGAAAUUAUUUUCCACCGGCAGCAUCAUAUUUUCAUUGGCCGUGAGUAUCACCUAUAAAAGUAUUCUUAAGUGUAAUAAUGUAAAUAUAUUUUAAAUCUAUAUCAAAUUGUCUCGAUUGAUAAAAUCUCAUCGUAGCAAUGCUACUUAUCAAACGAAACUCAUUUGAGAACGACAUAAUAAGUGACAGAGACAAUUUUUACAGAAACUCGAUGGAUACAGUCGCAUCUUUUUUCUGCGAAUUUUGAUGGCUGGACGGUUUAGUCAGCACUAAAGUCAACCUUAGCUUUAAAAUAUCAAACAUCUAAUAGGAAAUUGUAAGAGGUUUCGGACAGUUGUGUAUUUUUCAAGGUACACAACUUAAUUUUUGGCAGAUGAAAUAACUACUAUUUUCACGGCACCGGUGAAACGGGUGAAUUUUUUCUCUAGUGCUUGAUUCCAGAGAAUCCAGGAAUUUGACCUAAAAACCAAAUGUCUUACCCUACUUGUACCAGGCCUCCUAAAAACCUCCUGAGAGUCCCUUUUCAACCAGACAUUUUAAUAAUUUGAGGUUAUGAAUGAAUUUAUAACACUGGCUAAUACAGAUAUUCCCUGACGAUAUCCCUUUCGCCCCAGUCAGAGUCUUUACCGUGACCUAAACAAUCACUGGAACAUGAGUAGUAUCGUCAACACGACUAGGAAAAUAAGUGAGACCCGGAAUCUCCGAUUGGCAUUAUUUUUUCGCGCCCAGACAUUUGGGCUUCCAAAUGUCUGGGCGCGAAAAAUAAUGCCAAUCGGAGAUUCCGGGUCUCACUUAUUUUCCUAGUCGUAUUGAAAUACAUAUGUAUUUUGCAAUUUGAAACUAUAAAUUCUGGCCCGGUUUAAAAACAACGUAAGUGCCACUAGUUUCCCUGCACAUAAGUGUUUUUUUCAGAUGAGCCAGAAUUUAUAGUUCCAAAUUGCAGGAUGCAGUCCAUUUGGCAACAAUUAAACUCCGCGGAUUCAUUCAAGUGCCAGCAGCAACGAAGAAUCAUUUAAAGAAAGUGCACAGAUAGCACGUGAAUCGGAUGCAUGAGAAUAUUAAAAAAAGAAAGGGUAAAAAAGGAAAACUGCGAGAAAGAGACGAAGGAAAUGUUCGGAUCAUCGACAAGCAAGUCUCCUCCUUCGCAUCUGUAAUAUUUCAUAAAACACAGGAGAGAAGAGGGGAUAAGCUCCCGCGUUGCUGCGCAGGUAUUUUCAAUAAUUAGUCGGUAGUAUCAGUUCAUCACCUUUGUUUUCCGUUCACUGACUUGAAUUCUUUUGUGCGCUGUUGUCAAAGCACAGGCAUACUUUCUCGAACUGGGGAGAUUUUCGAAAUUUUCAGAAUUCAAAUUAAAGAACUUUUUAAUGUAGUACUUUUACCAUUGAGCUCCUUCAAGUCCAAGUUUUGGAUGGAAUCUCAAAACACUUUGUGUUGAAUCAAAGCAACUUUGAAAAAAAGUGAAGUUGAUUUGACAUUCUGGAUGUAAAAGAAGUGUGCGAGAACUAUAUGAAAUGCUGAAUUACCCGUUAUAGCAGUUACUUUUGCAAUGCCAAGAUGUAAAACUAACUGCUGUGGCGGGUAAUUUAGCAUUUCGUAGUUCUCGCACACUUUUUUUACAUCCAGAAUGUUUAAUCAACUUCACUUUUUUUUCGGUGAAGUCAUUUUGCAUUUAUCUGUUUUUGAAAAUUAGUCAGUAUGUUGAAAGCCAAUCUUCAAAUCAAGCGUUUUGUUAAAUGCCGAUGCGAAAAGCCAAUUAUUUUAUCGAUCCUUUGAAUUCUGAAUUUUCAUUCUGCAUGAAGCGACGAUCAGCGUAUCGACGGUGAAACUACCAAACCACGUAUCUCGGUUUGUGACGUCGCAGACUUCCUGUCAUACUUUAUUUUUAGGUAGAUUUCGAAGAAAUAUCUACCUAUUGCAGACGGUACGACCUCGUAAUUUUCGGGAAUUUUUGCUCAAAGAGCAUCGAUCCUGAGUCCCUGAGUUGAAAAAUGUAUGUCAUAAAAAAAGUACGAUAUAUAUUUAUAUAUAUAUAUUAUAUUUAUAUAUAUAUAACUGGGAUCUAACGAAACUUUGCGACCGUUUUUUUUCGGAACUAUCGACACGGUCAAAACGAAACUAAGCAUGGUUCUUCACUGCUAUGAGGUCAACAUCAAGUUUCCUUUUUCGUGAAAAUCGGC
Molecule: long non-coding RNA, 3785 nt
Filed under: Bemisia tabaci
Lineage: Eukaryota; Metazoa; Arthropoda; Insecta; Hemiptera; Aleyrodidae
Description: lncRNA ENSSSA1NGG011021
Source: RNAcentral